This 253-nucleotide ribosomal RNA is filed under the name uncultured bacterium. RNAcentral describes it as "partial 16S ribosomal RNA". It matches the Rfam family "Bacterial small subunit ribosomal RNA", at positions 524 to 776 of the family's 1533-position model. The record is from RNAcentral.
UACGUAGGGUGCAAGCGUUGUCCGGAAUUAUUGGGCGUAAAGAGCUCGUAGGCGGUCUGUCGCGUCUGCUGUGAAAAUCCAGGGCUCAACCCUGGACCUGCAGUGGGUACGGGCAGACUAGAGUGCGGUAGGGGAGAUCGGAAUUCCUGGUGUAGCGGUGAAAUGCGCAGAUAUCAGGAGGAACACCGAUGGCGAAGGCAGUGGUCUGGGCCGGAACUGACGCUGAAUAGCGAAAGCGUGGGUAGCGAACAGG